CUAAACUAGUUAUUGAUGUCGUUCGAUAUAUAAUAAUUAACAGCCAUACGGAUUUCUAUGUAAAGAUUUAUUAGGUUAUUGUCCCUAAAUUGGCGGGUUAUUCCCGUUUUAUUUAAACGAAAGUCCUACCAUGUGCGACGAGGACAACCCUGAAUCUAUUUCACAAAAAAUUAGAAUCUAUAGGUCAAUCAUACAUAGAUUGAUAACGAAAAACGCC
Molecule: long non-coding RNA, 217 nt
Filed under: Mytilus galloprovincialis (Mediterranean mussel)
Lineage: Eukaryota; Metazoa; Mollusca; Bivalvia; Mytilida; Mytilidae
Source: RNAcentral